Long non-coding RNA from Hibiscus syriacus, 587 nucleotides. RefSeq lists it as uncharacterized. The record is from RefSeq and is a predicted model, not a curated record. The transcript has 2 exons. Lineage: Eukaryota; Viridiplantae; Streptophyta; Magnoliopsida; Malvales; Malvaceae.
UACAAAAUAUAUGAAAUUAUACCGUCUGUCAUCCCUACCAUCAACCUUGAAAUCCUCGCCAUCCUCUCAUCCACCUUCCGUUCAUGCCUUGCUCUUUUCGCUACGACUUCCCCCGCUAAACUUAAAGUGGGCAGCUUAAGAGGACGUAAACCACACUUGGUAUUGUCGCGUUAUGGUUAGCAUAUUAGGGUAUGUUUGUUUGGGGGAAACAAUUUACGGAAAUCAUCCGAUCAAAUACCAUCACCGACUUCUCACCGGCGACAUUUUUUGAGGCCAACGUUCAUCUUCUCAGGAUGAUGAUCAGGAAUCGAAGAAUUCGAGUUGAUGAUGUUUUUUGCCUAUGGUGGAGAAAACGAAGACCGUAAAAUCAAUUACUCAGUAGAACACUAGUAGCAUGAUCGUAGAAUUCGAGGGGUUAAACUAAAGACUCCUCAUGACCUGCUGGAAUUACUAAAAGAUUGAUGCUUUAUCAGAGUGAGCAUUUGGUUCCAACACACAUUGUUUGUUUGAUGUUCCCUAUAUUGAGUUGAUGAUGUUGUCAUUGAACGUUAAUGCAAAGAAAAUGAAUGCUUUAUUCUUCCUUGGAA